This 715-nucleotide unclassified non-coding RNA is filed under the name Bombus terrestris (buff-tailed bumblebee). RNAcentral's name for it is "misc RNA ENSBTSG00005038470.1". The record is from RNAcentral. Lineage: Eukaryota; Metazoa; Arthropoda; Insecta; Hymenoptera; Apidae.
CGAGGGAGCUCGUUUUAACGUGUCCCUCCCUCUGAACACGCGUUUACCAACCAUCCUAACCAAAAUCACAGGACUAACUAGAAACACCGCCGGCUUUUUGCCUCGUCGCUCAGUGGGGAUCGAUGAACGCGAGGUGUACACCCUCCGUGGAGACGAACGAAAAGACAGGAGAGACCAGGAACGAUAACAGGGAGAAGCGAUCACGGGAACUACUCGAGGAGACGAGCGCCCUGUGACACAGCAACGGAGGAGGCGCACGAACGUUUCUCGGCCGUUUAACACGACGAGCAAGAGGCUGAACGACGGAACCUGGUGUGCCGAGAGAAGGACACGAUGACAGACGACUACCAGGAGAAGAAACAGUAAUAGUAGUAAUAGUAGUAGUAGUAGUAGUAGUAGUAGUAGUAGUAGUAGUAGCAGUAGUAGUAGUAGUAGUAGUAGUAGUAGUAGUAGUAGUAGUAGUAGUAGUAGUAGUAGUAGUAGUAGUAGUAGUAGUAGUAGUAGUGGUAGUAGUAGUAGUAGUAGUAGUAGUAGUAGUAGUAGUAGUAGUAGUAGUAGUAAUAGUAGCAGUAGUAGCAGUAGUAGUAGUAGUAAUAGUAGGAAUAGUAGGAAUAGUAGGAGUAGUAGGAGUAGUAGUAGUAGUAAUAGUAAUAAUAAUAGUAGCGGGGAUAAAUAACGAAAGAAAUACGAGAAACAACGAGCGAAUGAGAAUGAG